UCUGCAGGUUGAUAUUUAAGUCUUUUAUUAAACCUCCGGGCUCAACCCGGAAUCUGCAAAGGAAACUAUCUAUCUUGAGUAUGGUAGGGGUAAAGGGAAUUUCCAGUGGAGCGGUGAAAUGCGUAGAUAUUGGAAAGAACACCAACAGCGAAGGCACUUUACUGGGCCAGUACUGACACUCAGAGACGAAAGCUAGGGGAGCAAACA
Molecule: ribosomal RNA, 207 nt
Filed under: uncultured bacterium
Lineage: Bacteria
Description: partial 16S ribosomal RNA
Rfam family: Bacterial small subunit ribosomal RNA
Source: RNAcentral